AUACUAAAAAUUUAUAAGGUCUUAAAAUAAAUUUUUUUUGCCUUUUUUUUAAAAUAAAAACAAAACACUGUUUUAAGUUAUUUAAAUAACUUAAAACAGACCUGAAUCCGGGUCGGAUUUUACCCGGAUCCGACCUGGAUCCGGCUAAGGGAGAUGCGCCUGGCGCAUCUCCCUCUGGGGGCGCAUCAUCGCAUAUGCGCGCGCACCCGGAGCCUUGACAUUCACUACAACAAGCGAUUGAAUGAACGACAAUUGCAACGCAAGCUAGAUUGUCAAGACGACUCCAUAGCAGCUGAAGACAUAAACUAUAACUCCGAAUGGAUAUGUGGAGAGGAAGGACCGGCCAAUGAGUGGGUUUAUGGUGAUGACGGUCUUACUUGGGUAGCCCUUGAAGAUGCAAUGGGCGUCAAUGAAACAGAUGGUCCAACUACUAGACAAUAUAGUAGAGGAGGACCAUCUCAAACAUUUGGACAAGAGGCUGAAUUUUCUGAGGAAGAAGAAGAAGACUUUUAGAACCAUCUUAUAAACUAUGUAUUUACAUUUUAAAUUUUAGACUAAUAGUUUAUUACUUUGUAUUACUAAUUUUAGGUUUUAAAAUUGAUGUAUAUAUUUUUUUAAAUAUUUCUGAAUUUACAGGAUUUUUUUGCAAAUAUGUAUAAGUUCAGGGUACUUUUUGCAAAUAUACCAAUAUUUUCAGGCGACCGCCUAGGCGGCGCCUAGGCGGCCAUGCGGUCAUGGCCAUCGCAUGAACGCCUAAAAAAGCUUGAUUGUUAUUUACUGUUAUACGAAAUUCACUCAUAUCCUUGAUUUGUGACAUCUGCAGGGUUUGUAAUCGACAGAAAUCUGGAUUGGAGGACAAGUCAAUAGCCAUCCUGCAAUGAAGAGUUCAAAUGAUUGAAAGCACCAGUGAUGGAGUUCUACCCAAGAAUUUUAAUUCAGAAAGAUCUGACCUGACGGACAGGAGUGCCUUAGAGCCAAGAUCGAUGAUCUCGGGUGUCCAAGGCUAACACUUCGGGAAUAUAUCCCUGAAAUUGAGGCUAAGCCCUAAUUGAAUAAUGCGGUUAGGCGAUCCAACAGAGUGCUCAAUACGGCUGGAAGAAGUCUGGAUCCGGCGUGAUCGUCAUGACGGCGGGAUGACGGCGGGAUGACGGCGUACUCGACGAUAGUCGGAUGUUUAGGGUUAUGAAAUUGUGAAAUUGAGAGAAUGUUUGUUGCCAAAAUUUUGUUAAUGAUUUCAUUCAAUGAUUACAACUUAUACUACUG
RNAcentral lists this long non-coding RNA (1263 nucleotides) under Zostera marina. RNAcentral's name for it is "long non-coding RNA (ZMAR_LNC001019)". Lineage: Eukaryota; Viridiplantae; Streptophyta; Magnoliopsida; Alismatales; Zosteraceae. The record is from RNAcentral.